This 309-nucleotide unclassified non-coding RNA is filed under the name plant metagenome. RNAcentral describes it as "partial contains 5.8S ribosomal RNA, internal transcribed spacer 2, and large subunit ribosomal RNA". The stretch from base 1 to 105 matches the Rfam family "5.8S ribosomal RNA", at positions 50 to 154 of the family's 154-position model. The record is from RNAcentral.
GAAAUGCGAUAAGUAAUGUGAAUUGCAGAAUUCAGUGAAUCAUCGAAUCUUUGAACGCACAUUGCGCCCGCCAGUAUUCUGGCGGGCAUGCCUGUUCGAGCGUCAUUUCAACCAUCAAGCCCCCGGGCUUGUGUUGGGGACCUGCGGCUGCCGCAGGCCCCGAAAACCAGUGGCGGGCUCGCUGUCACACCGGGCGUAGUAGAUUUUUCGUCUCGCCCAGGGCGUGCUGCGGGUUCCGGACGUUAAAAAGCCUCUCUUUUAACCCAAGGUUGACCUCGGAUCAGGUAGGAAGACCCGCUGAACUUAAGC